Molecule: long non-coding RNA, 274 nt
Organism: Manis pentadactyla (Chinese pangolin)
Lineage: Eukaryota; Metazoa; Chordata; Mammalia; Pholidota; Manidae
Exons: 2
Source: RefSeq, a predicted model, not a curated record
CAGAAUCUGAGUUGCAACUAAAAAGCUAAUUGUCCAGCCGGCUGAUUUCCCACAGGGCAGGGAGAGCCGUUAAUGGCUUCACAAGUGGCUCAGGUCCGGGUGGUUGACUGGGGAGAGGAGGACGCUGAUGGACUUGGCCCCCCGGGCCAGCCUCCUGACGAGGCUCUCCGCAUGGGGCAGGCAGAGCACCCGGCACCACACACAGGCCAGCCCAUGCCCCUUGCCCUGCCCAGGACCCCUUGACUGCCUUUCACAUGAAUGCUCAUCCGUCUGA